GAGGGGAGUGAAGUGAAGGCUACAAGUGUACUAUAUAGAAACCCAAUGACAUUAUAUCGAUAAGUUAGUAGUCGUUCUGUUGUCUGCUCUCUCACUCUCUCUCGCCCUCGCUCUAAACCAGAGUUUUGUUGGCCCUGCGUGUGGCACAAUGGCAUUUUCGGGGGCAUGAAAAGGCAUACUUUUAAAAACGGUUUCCAGAGUGGAGACAUUGAAACGGGGCCUGUUCCACAUUGCGUUGGGUGUGCCUGCCGGCUGCGUUGCGAUACUGCUGCGUCUCUGUUGAGGGUGUUUAUUCACACCGCCGACGUUUCUGCUACGGUGCUGCUACUCCCAGCCCUAUCUUUCUACUUUGAGUUUGCCUUUGAUAAUGGCCGUCAAUACAAAAUCAGUUUGGUAUCAUCCAUCGUUGAAAAGUAUAGACCAGAAAGUUGACCAGAUGCAACCUGAAAUCAGUCACCUGACUUUUAUUGCCCUUGUUCAGAGCGAGGGCGAGAGAGAGUGAGAGAGCAGACAACAGAACAACUACUAACUUAUCGAUAUAAUGUCAUUGGGUUUCUAUAUAGUACACUUUUAGCCUUUAUUUCACUCCCCUCUCAUAACUUGCAAUUGCUGAAAUUGCUAAAAAAUAUAUAAUAUUUAUAUUUCUGUCGUGUCUGUGACACAUAGCCCAGACAUGGAAACUGCAGUGUAAGGAGCCAAUGUAUGUAAUGUUGCUGGGUUUCCUCACCCUCACGUGAAAAAUAGGCUCCACGUCGAAACUCUACAUAACUCGUGGCUGCAGCCCAGCUCGAGCUGCACAUGAGACCCGUGUCUCAGGCAGGCAGUGCGCAUGCUCUGACCUGUUCACAUGGGCGUCAAAAUGAAAAUCAACAGGUAACGAAACACAGGCAGUGUGAAACAGGCCUUAGGCCUAUGUGGACAGAUACAAACCGAGCUUUUUGAAAAUGAUGACGACAUGGCCCAAAUUUUAUCCAAUUACCUUUCAUUUGCUGAGAAGCUUCAGGCUAAGCUCCGCCUUCCAUAUUUUUGAAAAACAUUGUUUUAAAAACGACAUCCUAGUAUUUGAACUAUGGUUAAAAAAAAUGGUCUCUGUGGUGUUCUGUGCCCUCCCUAACCUCUUAAGUGGCUAAGGCUCUAAGAAUAGCAUGAUCUUGCUCAGUUAGCAGUGGUGCAAAGUUUGUGGGGUAGCACUGGCAGAAGGGAGAAUGCACUUGGUAGAAGCCGCUCUCUCUGUCUGCCCAGAAGAUCCAUGUCAUCUGUGUCUCCGCAGUCCCCUGUCUCCCCAUACACCAACCCGGGUCCGACGCGAACCCCGCUAGAGAGGCACACUUCUUGGGUAGAGAAACCCGUCAAGCCGCUCUCUCCCUGGGAGGCUGCUGCCAGGAACCCUCUGGGACUGGUGGAUGACGCCUUUGCUUUCCAAGGCAUUCCAGAUGCAUAUGCAGCAACGCACCGCAGGCCACUUCCGGAGCCCCCGCUGGAGUGGAAGCAGAGGGUUUCAUAUGAGCCUGUGGGGUACAGCCCACUGUCACUCCAGCCCCAGCCCCAGCCUGUGGGGUACAGCCCACUGUCACUCCAGCCCCAGCCCCAGCCUGUGGCUUCCCCCUCCAGAGCAGCACCUUUUUCCCCAUCGAUGCCAACUUUCUAUGGGCCACCCUUCAGGCCAGCUCAGCCUCUCACCGCCAACACCAGGUAUCAAGGGACUGGUUCACUACAAAGGAAAAGUAGGCAUUCUCUGCCGCCUCUGCGAGUGGGAAGGGUGAUGUAAUUGAUGAUUUGAUGUAGUAAGCGUUUGUCUGGUUUGCAGUGGUCCAACUGAAAUCUGAGACAGAGCUGUCAUCACUACCACUUCACACGUCAACAGCUUUAUGAACAAAAUGGCUUAGAGUCAAAAUGAGGUGCCAUAAUUAAAAUUAGACACAGAUGUUGAAUAUGAAGUUAAUAAGCAUAACUUGUAAAAUUACACUGGUUGAGCUAUAAUUGUGCAUGAUUCCUUGUGUUCAGCACUGAUAUAAGCAAGAAUUCAGCGAGGAAUGAAUUUCAAACAGUUAAGUUGAAUGUUCAGAGUUCAGGUAAGCUAACAAUAUACAGACAGAUAAUAAGACAGGUAGAAACUGAAAACAAUUGAAAUGAGAAAACUUCAAACUUCAAGGAAUAAAUAUCACAUUUUGUUGUGUUAUUCAAAGAAAAUAGAAAUGUAUGAGACAAGCAGUGCAGCAAGGAGAAAUAAAAGGGACGUUCCUGCGAGUUCAUUGAAAGUUGAUCAUUCUUUGCUAAGUCUGUGGUUUAUGCAAACUUUUGUUUUUGAGUCAGGAUGUAUGACAGGUAAAGUAAAAAGGAAGGAUAAAGAAAAGAAUGACAGUGUUUAGCAUAAAUCAACUAUCACCCUCCAAGUUAGAGAUGGUAUAUUAACUCGUCAUCACCUUUGUCACAUUUAUGUUUAUUUACGCUCUGUUGGUUUGGUCUUUUAUAUUUAUGAUAAUCAGAGCAGAUAUUACAUUUUUCUCUUUGCUGAUCUGUGAAUGUGUUUUACAUUGCACUGUAGUUGCUGAUGCGGCUCACAUUGUAAGUUAGUUAGAUUAGUACUAUAUUGCAUAGGUAUCUUUUGCACACAAACACAUCACAUAUGGACACCAUGUGGACAUAAGCUAUUUGUAAUGUAUUGUUUGUCAUUAACACACUUGACACCUUUAGCACUGUACAUAAACAUUAAAACAACAACCUGAACUUAGUUAAAUCUAGAGAGAAAAAUAUGUUAUAAACAUGAACUAGAGAUGUGCUGAAGACCAAUGUAGAGUUGACUAUGAAGUUGAGGACUGUGAUUUUAAGGAUGUGAGAAUAUGACAUUUGUGCGUUAUAAUCUACACUAUUAAACUUUUCCAUACAUACGAUCAUGUGUGGCCUUGUCAUGAUGCCAGUGGUUUGAAAAUCAAACAGCAGUAACCCAGGCAACGUUUGUCUCAGAGGCUAUGUGCUA
Molecule: long non-coding RNA, 2977 nt
Organism: Clupea harengus (Atlantic herring)
Lineage: Eukaryota; Metazoa; Chordata; Actinopteri; Clupeiformes; Clupeidae
Source: Ensembl